This 449-nucleotide ribosomal RNA is filed under the name uncultured bacterium. RNAcentral's name for it is "partial 16S ribosomal RNA". It matches the Rfam family "Bacterial small subunit ribosomal RNA", at positions 29 to 523 of the family's 1533-position model. The record is from RNAcentral.
AGCGAACGCUGGCGGCAGGCCUAACACAUGCAAGUCGAACGAAGUCUUCGGACUUAGUGGCGGACGGGUGAGUAACGCGUGGGAAUCUGCCCUGGGGUACGGAACAACGCCGGGAAACUGGCGCUAAUACCGUAUACGGCUUAAGAGCGAAAGAUUUAUCGCCCUGGGGUGAGCCCGCGUCGGAUUAGGUAGUUGGUGGGGUAAAAGCCUACCAAGCCUUCGAUCCGUAGCUGGUCUGAGAGGAUGAUCAGCCACACUGGGACUGAGACACGGCCCAGACUCCUACGGGAGGCAGCAGUGGGGAAUAUUGGACAAUGGGCGAAAGCCUGAUCCAGCAAUGCCGCGUGAGUGAUGAAGGCCUUAGGGUUGUAAAGCUCUUUCGGCGGGGAAGAUUAUGACUGUACCCGCAGAAGAAGCCCCGGCUAACUUCGUGCCAGCCGCCGCCGUAA